UACGUAGGGCGCGAGCGUUAAUCGGAAUUACUGGGCGUAAAGCGUGCGUAGACGGUUAUUUAAGUCGGGUGUGAAAGCCCCGGGCUCAACCUGGGAAUUGCAGUCGAGACUGUUCGGCUAGAGUGUGGGAGAGGGCAGUGGAAUUCCCGGUGUAGCGGUGAAAUGCGUAGAUAUCGGGAGGAACAUCAGUGGCGAAGGCGACUGCCUGGCCCAACACUGACGCUGAGGUGCGAAAGCGUGGGGAGCGAACGGG
This 253-nucleotide ribosomal RNA is filed under the name uncultured bacterium. Its description in RNAcentral is "partial 16S ribosomal RNA". It matches the Rfam family "Bacterial small subunit ribosomal RNA", at positions 524 to 776 of the family's 1533-position model. The record is from RNAcentral.